ACACUCCUGCGGGAGGCAGCAGUAGGGAAUCUUCGGCAAUGGGGGCAACCCUGACCGAGCAACGCCGCGUGAGUGAAGAAGGUUUUCGGAUCGUAAAGCUCUGUUGUAAGUCAAGAACGAGUGUGAGAGUGGAAAGUUCACACUGUGACGGUAGCUUACCAGAAAGGGACGGCUAACUACGUGCCAGCAGCCGCGGUAAUACGUAGGUCCCGAGCGUUGUCCGGAUUUAUUGGGCGUAAAGCGAGCGCAGGCGGUUUGAUAAGUCUGAAGUUAAAGGCUGUGGCUCAACCAUAGUUCGCUUUGGAAACUGUCAAACUUGAGUGCAGAAGGGGAGAGUGGAAUUCCAUGUGUAGCGGUGAAAUGCGUAGAUAUAUGGAGGAACACCGGUGGCGAAAGCGGCUCUCUGGUCUGUAACUGACGCUGAGGCUCGAAAGCGUGGGGAGCGAACAGGAUUAGAAACCCGUGUAGUCCCAUGAU
This 477-nucleotide ribosomal RNA is filed under the name uncultured organism. Its description in RNAcentral is "partial 16S ribosomal RNA". It matches the Rfam family "Bacterial small subunit ribosomal RNA", at positions 333 to 801 of the family's 1533-position model. The record is from RNAcentral.